AUAUCAAUAAGCGGAGGAAAAGGAACUAACAAGGAUUCCCCUAGUAACGGCGAGUGAAGCGGGAAAAGCUCAAAUUUGAAAUCCGGUUUUUAAUAAAAAGCCAGAGUUGUAAUUUAUAGACACGUUUUCGGUAACGGCCCUUGUAUAAAUCCUUUGGAACAGGGUAUCAUAGAGGGUGAGAAUCCCGUCUUUGACAAGGGAACGCGUAGCCAUGUGAUACGUGCUCAAAGAGUCGCAUUGUUUGGGAAUGCAGUGCAAAAUGGGUGGUAAAUUUCAUCUAAAGCUAAAUAAUGGGGAGAGACCGAUACGCACAAGUA
This 317-nucleotide ribosomal RNA is filed under the name uncultured Olpidium. RNAcentral's name for it is "partial large subunit ribosomal RNA". It matches the Rfam family "Eukaryotic large subunit ribosomal RNA", at positions 40 to 350 of the family's 3401-position model. The record is from RNAcentral. Lineage: Eukaryota; Fungi; Olpidiomycota; Olpidiomycetes; Olpidiales; Olpidiaceae.